UGUUGUUUGACCCAAAAAAGGGCCUUAAUGCCAUCAUCAUAUGCUGCCGGAAGAGGGUUUUCUGGGGCCAGACGAUAGUUGACUGACAUGAUCACACAAUUGGCUUUUGAUGCUAAUUUUGCAAGAAAUUCAUGGUAGCAACUCCAAGAAGCUGAACCGACGCAAAAUCCACCACCAUGAAAGUAUACUAGUAAAGGGAGUUUGGCAUGGCAUUUGGGCACGUAAAACCGCGCCCAAACGUUUGUACAUUUGUCAAUGACGAUAUCUGUGGAGGUCAGGGCUUGAUCUGGAGCCACGGCACACGUAACACUUGGCACAAUCUGGGGUCUUUCCACGUGCCCAUCUUUGUAAACCUUAAUAAGCCCUUCAAUUUCUUCAUGAACUCCAUGUUGCUGAUUUUGUUCUUUGUUGAACUCAAGGCUCAAGCUGGGAUCAAAUGUCAUGGCAGCCAUUCUCCUCUUUCUCAUAAAUAAAAGAUGUGCAAAUCUACUGA
RNAcentral lists this long non-coding RNA (493 nucleotides) under Coffea arabica (coffee). RNAcentral's name for it is "long non-coding RNA (CARA_LNC007592)". Lineage: Eukaryota; Viridiplantae; Streptophyta; Magnoliopsida; Gentianales; Rubiaceae. The record is from RNAcentral.